This 1399-nucleotide ribosomal RNA is filed under the name uncultured prokaryote. RNAcentral describes it as "partial 16S ribosomal RNA". It matches the Rfam family "Bacterial small subunit ribosomal RNA". The record is from RNAcentral.
AAGCUGGACAGCGGCGCAAGGGUGAGUAACGCGUAGUUACCUGCCUCAGGGUCUGGAAUAGCCUCGGGAAACUGUCGGUAAUACCGGAUGAUAUCUGCGGAUCAAAGGUGUGAUUCCGCCUGGGGAUGGUUCCGCGUCCUAUUAGCUUGUUGGUGAGGUAACGGCUCACCAAGGCUUCGAUGGGUAGCGGGCGUGAGAGCGUGGCCCGUCACACUGGGACUGAGACACUGCCCAGACGUCUACGGAUGGCUGCAGUCGAGAAUCUUUGUCAAUGGGCGAAAGCCUGAACAAGCGAUGCCGCGUGCGGGAUGAAGGCCUUCGGGUUGUAAACCGCUGUCGGAGGGGAACAAGGCUCCGUGAAGAGCGAUUUUGACUACCCCCUCGGAGGAAGUCCGGGCUAAGUUCGUGCCAGCAGCCGCGGUAACACGAACCGGACAAACGUUAUUCGGAAUUACUGGGCUUAAAGGGUGCGUAGGCGGCGCUAUAAGUCGGGUGUGAAAUCCCCCGGCUCAACCGAGGAACUGCGUCCGAAACUGCCGUGCUCGAGGGAGAUAGGGGUGAGCGGAACUCACGGUGGAGCGGUGAAAUGCGUUGAUAUCGUGAGGAACGCCGGUGGCGAAAGCGGCUCACUGGAUCUCUUCUGACGCUGAGGCACGAAAGCUAGGGGAGCGAACGGGAUUAGAUACCCCGGUAGUCCUAGCUGUAAACGAUGAGCACUAGAUCGAGGGGACCCCCACAUCCUCUCGGUCGUAGCGAAAGUGUUAAGUGCUACGCCUGGGGAGUAUGGUCGCAAGGCUGAAACUCAAAGGAAUUGACGGGGGCUCACACAAGCGGUGGAGGAUGUGGCUUAAUUCGAGGCUACGCGAAGAACCUUAUCCUAGUCUUGACAUGCACGGAUUAACCCUGUGAAAGCAGGGGCGCGCCAUCGGGUGAAACUGUCACAGGUGCUGCAUGGCUGUCGUCAGCUCGUGUCGUGAGAUGUCGGGUUAAGUCCCUUAACGAGCGAAACCCUUGUCACUAGUUGCCAGCGCGUAAUGGCGGGGACUCUAGUGAGACUGCCGGUGUUAAACCGGAGGAAGGUGGGGAUGACGUCAAGUCCUCAUGGCCUUUAUGGUCCGGGCUGCACACGUCCUACAAUGCCGCGCACAAAGGGAAGCAAACUCGCGAGAGUAAGCAAAUCCCAAAAAACGCGGCCCAGUUCGGAUUGCAGGCUGCAACCCGCCUGCAUGAAGCCGGAAUCGCUAGUAAUCGCGGGUCAGCAUACCGCGGUGAAUACGUUCCUGAGCCUUGUACACACCGCCCGUCAAGCCACGAAAGUGGGGGGCGCUUAAAGUCGCUGAGCUAACUUCGGAAGCAGGCGCCUAGAGUCAACUCCGCGAUUGGGACUAAGUCGUAACAA